This is a long non-coding RNA of Oncorhynchus keta (chum salmon), 854 nucleotides long. RefSeq lists it as uncharacterized. The transcript has 3 exons. Lineage: Eukaryota; Metazoa; Chordata; Actinopteri; Salmoniformes; Salmonidae. The record is from RefSeq and is a predicted model, not a curated record.
AGAGAGAGAGAGAGAGAAAAAAAGAGAAGAGCAAUGAUCCUGAAAUAACAGCACAUCCAUAGGAAGACACAAUGUGGAAAAGGGAAGGAACGGCUUGUGGUCAGGCUUGUGCCAGAUAGGAAGAUGAGGACCCCAAAUAUACAUCUGAAGAGGAAGAGAGGAGAAUAAACAGAUACAAUGAAAAGAUCAAGGUCAUAACGAGGGAAAGUAUAGUGUGUUGGAGGUGUCUGUGUUGGAGGUGUCUGUGUUGGAGGUGUCUGUGUUGGAGGUGUCUGUGUUGGAGGUGUCUGUGUUAGAGGUGUCUGUGUUGGAGGUGUCUGUGUUGGAGGUGUCUGUGUUGGAGGUGUCUGUGUUGGAGGUGUCUGUGUUGGAGGUGUCUGUGUUGGAGGUGUCUGUGUUGGAGGUGUCUGUGUUGGAGGUGUCUGUGUUGGAGGUGUCUGUGUUGGAGGUGUCUGUGUUGGAGGUGUCUGUGUUGGAGGUGUCUGUGUUGGAGGUGUCUGUGUUGGAGGUGUCUGUGUUGGAGGUGUCUGUGUUGGAGGUGUCUGUGUUGGAGGUGUCUGUGUGGUGUGUGUCUGUGUUGGAGGUGUCUGUGUGGGAGGUGUCUGUGUGGUGUGUGUCUGUGUUGGAGGUGUCUGUGUGGGAGGUGUCUGUAUGGGGUGCUGGGCAGAGCAGAGCAGAGAGACACCAGAGAGACAGAGGUUAACCUGCAUACUGUUGUCUCUCAGCAGGUAUAAUUGAUGUUAGCAUGGCCAACAUUACCACUGUCCUGAACCAUGAAUCUGUCUGUGUGGGGCUGUGGUUACUUCAACAGGUAAUUACAGGGCUGCUCCAUGUCACGCACACACACACACACA